UGGCCUGUGAGGGUUGCUGGAGGUAUCAGAAGUGCGAAUGCUGACAUAAGUAACGAUAAAGCGGGUGAAAAGCCCGCUCGCCGGAAGACCAAGGGUUCCUGUCCAACGUUAAUCGGGGCAGGGUGAGUCGACCCCUAAGGCGAGGCCGAAAGGCGUAGUCGAUGGGAAACGGGUUAAUAUUCCCGUACUUGGUGUUACUGCGAAGGGGGGACGGAGAAGGCUAUGUUGGCCGGGCGACGGUUGUCCCGGUUUAAGCGUGUAGGUGUGUGUUCCAGGUAAAUCCGGUUCACUUUAACACUGAGGCGUGACGACGAGGCACUACGGUGCUGAAGCAACAAAUGCCCUGCUUCCAGGAAAAGCCUCUAAGCAUCAGGUAACAUCAAAUCGUACCCCAAACCGACACAGGUGGUCAGGUAGAGAAUACCAAGGCGCUUGAGAGAACUCGGGUGAAGGAACUAGGCAAAAUGGUGCCGUAACUUCGGGAGAAGGCACGCUGACACGUAGGUGAAGUGAUUUACUCAUGGAGCUGAAGUCAGUCGAAGAUACCAGCUGGCUGCAACUGUUUAUUAAAAACACAGCACUGUGCAAACACGAAAGUGGACGUAUACGGUGUGACGCCUGCCCGGUGCCGGAAGGUUAAUUGAUGGGGUCAGCGCAAGCGAAGCUCCUGAUCGAAGCCCCGGUAAACGGCGGCCGUAACUAUAACGGUCCUAAGGUAGCGAAAUUCCUUGUCGGGUAAGUUCCGACCUGCACGAAUGGCGUAAUGAUGGCCAGGCUGUCUCCACCCGAGACUCAGUGAAAUUGAACUCGCUGUGAAGAUGCAGUGUACCCGCGGCAAGACGGAAAGACCCCGUGAACCUUUACUAUAGCUUGACACUGAACAUUGAGCCUUGAUGUGUAGGAUAGGUGGGAGGCUUUGAAGUGUGGACGCCAGUCUGCAUGGAGCCGACCUUGAAAUACCACCCUUUAAUGUUUGAUGUUCUAACGUGGACCCGUUACCCGGGUUGCGGACAGUGUCUGGUGGGUAGUUUGACUGGGGCGGUCUCCUCCUAAAGAGUAACGGAGGAGCACGAAGGUUGGCUAAUCCUGGUCGGACAUCAGGAGGUUAGUGCAAUGGCAUAAGCCAGCUUGACUGCGAGCGUGACGGCGCGAGCAGGUGCGAAAGCAGGUCAUAGUGAUCCGGUGGUUCUGAAUGGAAGGGCCAUCGCUCAACGGAUAAAAGGUACUCCGGGGAUAACAGGCUGAUACCGCCCAAGAGUUCAUAUCGACGGCGGUGUUUGGCACCUCGAUGUCGGCUCAUCACAUCCUGGGGCUGAAGUAGGUCCCAAGGGUAUGGCUGUUCGCCAUUUAAAGUGGUACGCGAGCUGGGUUUAGAACGUCGUGAGACAGUUCGGUCCCUAUCUGCCGUGGGCGCUGGAGAACUGAGGGGGGCUGCUCCUAGUACGAGAGGACCGGAGUGGACGCAUCACUGGUGUUCGGGUUGUCAUGCCAAUGGCACUGCCCGGUAGCUAAAUGCGGAAGAGAUAAGUGCUGAAAGCAUCUAAGCACGAAACUUGCCCCGAGAUGAGUUCUCCCUGAGACUUAAAGUCUCCUGAAGGAACGUUGAAGACGACGACGUUGAUAGGCCGGGUGUGUAAGCGCAGCGAUGCGUUGAGCUAACCGGUACUAAUGAACCGUGAGGCUUAACCUUACAACGCCGAAG
RNAcentral lists this ribosomal RNA (1702 nucleotides) under Salmonella enterica subsp. enterica serovar Enteritidis. RNAcentral's name for it is "partial 23S ribosomal RNA". It matches the Rfam family "Bacterial large subunit ribosomal RNA", at positions 1257 to 2925 of the family's 2925-position model. The record is from RNAcentral. Lineage: Bacteria; Pseudomonadati; Pseudomonadota; Gammaproteobacteria; Enterobacterales; Enterobacteriaceae.